Molecule: non-coding RNA, 26 nt
Filed under: Mus musculus (house mouse)
Lineage: Eukaryota; Metazoa; Chordata; Mammalia; Rodentia; Muridae
Source: RNAcentral
UAUUUUGAAUAUGGUCCAUGUUUCCC